GGCGAACGUGCCUUGUCCGAGAAGUUUUCCGAUCUCGUAUUUUUGCAUCAGAAUAUUCCCUUUCUUCUCCAUUUCCUCUUUCAAUUUCUUCAGGAAUACAGGAGAGGUUAUAACUUAUAAGCCUUGCCUAAGGCAAGGUUGAAGAAAAAUCACUUGUGGGAGAAUUUCAGAAAAGGGAAAACAGAGCUUCCAAUUUUUCUGAAUCCCAACAAUAAAAGUAUUUGCUAAUUAUAGUAAAUUGUUGU
Non-coding RNA from Erythranthe guttata (spotted monkey flower), 245 nucleotides. The record is from RefSeq and is a predicted model, not a curated record. Lineage: Eukaryota; Viridiplantae; Streptophyta; Magnoliopsida; Lamiales; Phrymaceae.